GGAUAUGAUGGCCCCGCCAGCGCACCCGAUUCGUCGGGUAGGGAAUCCGGUGGGAAUCCGGGACUGACGCGCAGCGGUGAGAGCGACGCUCCGGGCACAUGUCACUGGAUUGCAUCUGGGAAGACGUCCGACAGCGGUAGACCUCGAGUCCGAAGACCUGCUGGCUCGCGCGGGCCCAG
Molecule: non-coding RNA, 179 nt
Filed under: Gordonia sputi
Lineage: Bacteria; Bacillati; Actinomycetota; Actinomycetes; Mycobacteriales; Gordoniaceae
Source: RNAcentral